GCUCUGACGUUUGCUUGUGCCGAAGUGGCAAAUACGUUAGUUCGGUGGAAAACGGUAUAUAUCAGCACUUCUUUAUAAUAUCCUAAAAUUAUUUCUAGACAUAUUGUGCAUUUUUGAGCGGCACAGGAGACUAAGUGGUCUGAAAAAGGACCACUGGGUGGCGGAAUGGUUCGCUGGCCGGAAAAAUAGCCAGGCAAACCCAGAAGCAAGACGGAGCGUCCCGGUGGUCUGUCCUCUGAAGUAAGUAGGAGCUAAACCUGCAGGCUUUGCCCUCCGAUUAUAAUGAGACAUGGAGUAAUUAUAAAUGAUUUCAGAUUACGUUUUAUAUGUCUGGUAUUUUGAUAUUCUGCCCUCCUCAUAUGUUUCUGUUAGCGGGAGCUAAAGUUUAUGUCAGCUAUGCUACGUUAGCUGUUGGGAGCUAAGCUUUAUGUCAGCUAUGCUACGUUAGCUGUUGGGAGCUGAGUCCGUGUAUUUUUAUUGUCUCACUCUUCACAGUUUGAUAGUCUGUCUUCAGUCUUAACUUUAACCCAGGUUGAUCUGGUUUUAUGAUGCCGAAGUCGGCAAGCAUCUUCAGGAGAUUAUGGCAGUUAUGGAUGUUGGUCACUAUCACUGAAACUGUAUUUUGUUGCUUCAGCAGUAAUGAAGGUAGAUCUGAACCUGCAGGAACAUCAUCUGCUGCUAGACUUUAUUCACCAUAACAAACUGAAAGACAAUCUGCAGCAGCUGAGAUUCUGGGAGGUUCAACACCAAAACCUGAAGCUUCAAACUGAGCCGUCAACUGAACCAAGAUGCCUUUCAA
Long non-coding RNA from Poecilia latipinna (sailfin molly), 799 nucleotides. RefSeq lists it as uncharacterized. The transcript has 3 exons. Lineage: Eukaryota; Metazoa; Chordata; Actinopteri; Cyprinodontiformes; Poeciliidae. The record is from RefSeq and is a predicted model, not a curated record.